Molecule: ribosomal RNA, 365 nt
Filed under: Semiscolex similis
Lineage: Eukaryota; Metazoa; Annelida; Clitellata; Hirudinida; Semiscolecidae
Description: partial 12S ribosomal RNA
Source: RNAcentral
UAUCCUUUAUCAAUAUAUAGUCUGGGGAGUAAUAGUAAAAUACUAAAAAACUGAAGAAUAUGGCGGUAUUUUAUUCUAUCAGGGGAACCUGUAUCUUAAUUUGACAGUCCACGGUUUAAAGGCCUAACCUUGAAAGCUAUCAGCAUGUGUACUGCCGUUAGUUAUAGAUUUUAAUAAUUCUGUCUAUAAAAUUACUUUAACUGAGUGAGAAGUCAGGUCGAAGUGCAGCUAAUGGUUAGGUGUAAUAUGGGUUACAAUUAUUUANAGAUUCAAAAAAAUUAAGUAGUUUGAUUUUUAUGAAGAAUUUGACAGUAAUCGAUAGUUAAUAACUAUGAUGAAUUUGAUUCUAAAAUAUGCACACAUCG